Molecule: ribosomal RNA, 362 nt
Filed under: uncultured bacterium
Lineage: Bacteria
Description: partial 16S ribosomal RNA
Rfam family: Bacterial small subunit ribosomal RNA
Source: RNAcentral
CCUACGGGUGGCAGCAGUGGGGAAUAUUGCGCAAUGGGCGAAAGCCUGAUGCAGCGACGCCGCGUGAGGGAUUAAGGUCUUCGGAUUGUAAACCUCUGUUAGCAGGGAAGCACGGUCACUGUGUUAAUCCGCAGUGAAUUGACGGUACCUGCUAAGGAACCACCGGCUAACUCCGUGCCAGCAGCCGCGGUAAUACGGAGGGUGCGAGCGUUAAUCGGAAUUACGGGGCGUAAAGCGCUCGUAGGCGGUCUGUCAAGUCAAGGGUGAAAUCCCCGCGCUCAACGUGGGAACUGCCUUUGAAACUGGCAAGAUGGGAUGUAUGAGGGGGUAGUAGGAUUCCAGGUGUAGGAAUGAAAAUCGGA